AGGUGCGAUCAUACCAGCACUAAUGCACUGGAUCCUAUCAGAACUCCGCAGUUAAGCGGUCAUGGGCGAGAGUAGGACUAGGAUGGUUGACUUCCUGAGAAGUCCUCGUGUUGCACCCC
RNAcentral lists this ribosomal RNA (119 nucleotides) under Gossypium arboreum. Lineage: Eukaryota; Viridiplantae; Streptophyta; Magnoliopsida; Malvales; Malvaceae. The record is from RNAcentral.